This 478-nucleotide ribosomal RNA is filed under the name uncultured bacterium. RNAcentral describes it as "partial 16S ribosomal RNA". It matches the Rfam family "Bacterial small subunit ribosomal RNA", at positions 28 to 523 of the family's 1533-position model. The record is from RNAcentral.
GACGAACGCUGGCGGCGUGCUUAACUCAUGCAAGUCGAACGGUAAGGCCCUUCGGGGUACACGAGUGGCGAACGGGUGAGUAACACGUGGGUGAUCUGCCCUGCACUUCGGGAUAAGCCUGGGAAACAGGGUCUAAUGCCGGAUAGGACCACUGCCUGCAUGGGUGGUGGUGGAAGGCUUUUGCGGUGUGGGAUGGGCCCGCGGCCUAUCAGCUUGUUGGUGGGGUGAUGGCCUACCAAGGCGACGACGGGUAGCCGGCCUGAGAGGGUGACCGGCCACACUGGGACUGAGAUACGGCCCAGACUCCUACGGGAGGCAGCAGUGGGGAAUAUUGCACAAUGGGCGCAAGCCUGAUGCAGCGACGCCGCGUGAGGGAUGACGGCCUUCGGGUUGUAAACCUCUUUCAGCACCGACGAAGCGCAAGUGACGGUAGGUGCAGAAGAAGGACCGGCCAACUACGUGCCAGCAGCCGCCGUAA